RNAcentral lists this long non-coding RNA (880 nucleotides) under Takifugu rubripes (torafugu). RNAcentral describes it as "lncRNA (ENSTRUG00000030925.1)". The record is from RNAcentral. Lineage: Eukaryota; Metazoa; Chordata; Actinopteri; Tetraodontiformes; Tetraodontidae.
CCAGUCAGUCAGCCAGUCAGCCAGCCACCCACCUGAUUCAGCUGUCUGUCAGACCUCCAGCCAGCCAGUCAGCCAGCCAGUCAGCCAGCCAGCCAGCCACCCACCUGAUUCAGCUGUCUGUCAGACCUCCAGCCAGUCAGCCAGCCAGCCAGCCAGCCAGCCACCCACCUGAUUCAGCUGUCUGUCAGACCUCCAGCCAGCCAGUCAGCCAGCCAGUCAGCCAGCCAGCCAGCCACCCACCUGAUUCAGCUGUCUGUCAGACCUCCAGUCAGUCAGCCAGCCAGCCAGCCAGCCAGCCAGCCAGUCAGUCAGUCAGUCAGUCAGUCAGCCAGCCAGCCACCUGAUUCAGCUGUCUGUCAGACCUCCAGCCAGCCAGCCAGCCAGUCAGCCAGCCAGCCAGCCAGCCAGCCAGCCAGCCAGCCACCUGAUUCAGCUGUCUGUCAGACCUCCAGUCAGCCACUGGGUAAAGAAAGCUGCCUUUAAUCUGCAGUCUAGAAGAAUUCAGAGGGAUUCAAAUGUGCCAGGAUGAAGAAAAUCUCCCCUCUGAAUGUGUUGUGCAGAUGAAGCUGAAGGCAGCGAUCUUCAUCAUGUGGAGGGGACAAAUGAUCAUCCAGUUGAUGAAUCUGGAGAGGCCAGCGAACUCUGCCCGCCAGUAUGUGGAUGAAGGUUUUCUCUCCAUGACAGCUGUCAAAGCAGCUGUGUUGUCAUGACAACAGAUUACAACACAGCUGAAACAAGUCUUCGAUCAUCAUCAUCAUCACCAGCAGCAGUUUGAUGCCUUCUACCAGUGAAUCUAUCAAGCUUUACUUCUGUUGUUGCCAUGGUGAUUUUGAAGCUGAUGAUUUGUUUGAUUGACAGCUAUAAAUAAACAGUUGCAUCA